This 468-nucleotide ribosomal RNA is filed under the name uncultured bacterium. Its description in RNAcentral is "partial 16S ribosomal RNA". It matches the Rfam family "Bacterial small subunit ribosomal RNA", at positions 28 to 507 of the family's 1533-position model. The record is from RNAcentral.
GACGAACGCUGGCGGCGUGCUUAACACAUGCAAGUCGAACGGAAAGGCCCUGCUUUUGUGGGGUGCUCGAGUGGCGAACGGGUGAGUAACACGUGAGUAACCUGCCCUUGACUUUGGGAUAACUUCAGGAAACUGGGGCUAAUACCGGAUAGGAGCUCCUGCUGCAUGGUGGGGGUUGGAAAGUUUCGGCGGUUGGGGAUGGACUCGCGGCUUAUCAGCUUGUUGGUGGGGUAGUGGCUUACCAAGGCUUUGACGGGUAGCCGGCCUGAGAGGGUGACCGGCCACAUUGGGACUGAGGUACGGCCCAGACUCCUACGGGAGGCAGCAGUGGGGAAUAUUGCAGAAUGGGCGGAAGCCUGAUGCGGCAACGCCGCGUGCGGGAUGACGGCCUUCGGGUUGUAAACCGCUUUCGCCUGUGACGAAGCGUGAGUGACGGUAAUGGGUAGAGAAGCACCGGCUAACUACGUG